This 1770-nucleotide ribosomal RNA is filed under the name Triticum aestivum (bread wheat). Its description in RNAcentral is "partial small subunit ribosomal RNA". Lineage: Eukaryota; Viridiplantae; Streptophyta; Magnoliopsida; Poales; Poaceae. The record is from RNAcentral.
AUGGGAUUGAAAAAGGAAUUGCGGAGUGUGGUGGAACUUCAGCUUCCCGUCAAUGUGCAAACAGCUUCUAUGUAUGCUACAGUACAGGAAGGGCUCCAAAAUCAGCAGAAGUCUUUCAAGUCUGGUUUCACAAGGAACACAACGACCAGAAACGACAUCAAAAACAAUUUUGCUCCGGGUGAGUUGUGGAAGGCCAAGCAUCUCAAAGAGUACAGACGUGCUAAUGGUUUGUCUUACAGUUGUGGGGAGAAAUACAUACCUGGUCAUGCCUGUAACAAAGCACCUGCACCUGCAGCUCAGUUAAAGGCAGCAGAAAUGGUAGACCCUCAUGAGAUCAUUUCCGAUGCAAUUCUGGAUGCUCUGGUAGACGACCAUCAACCUGAAUGUGUUCAUAUCUCAGUUACUGCCUUGUCAGGUGCUGCUCACCCUAAAACAAUACAACUCCGAGCUCUUGUGGGUAACCAAGUGGUGCUGAUUUUGAUCGACUCAGGGAGCACUCACACCUUUGUAGAUAAAGCUUUGCUGAGCAGAGUACCAGUAACUACAGAGAAAUUAGCAACUCCUCUGCACAUGAAAGUAGCAAAUGGAGAUAAAGUGGACUGUACAGAGUUUGUGUCCAACUUGAAUUGGUGGAUUCAGGGUCAUGAUUUUUCUACACCAAUGCAUGUGUUGGAAUUGGGAGGAUAUGACAUUAUUCUGGGAAUGGACUGGCUGGAGAAAUGGGGGGUUAUGCAAUGUCACUGGGCAGAUAAAUGGAUUAAGUUUGACUACCAAGGGAAAGAGAUCAAGCUGCAGGGAGUGUUGCAUGUCAAACAAGAGCAGAUCCAGGAAGUGUCUAUGGAGCAACUGAAGAAGUGGGACAAAGGCAAUGGCAUCUGGGCAACUGCUAUUCUGCAUCACAUUUGUGUUGCUCCAGUAACUGAAGUGUCAGAGGAAGUGCAGAAACUAUUGCAAGAAAAUAAAGCUGCAUUUGUGGAUCCAAAAACCCUACCUCCCCACAGGGAUUUUGACCAUGAGAUACACUUAGUGCCUGAUGCUGUGCCUGUCAACUACAGACCAUAUAGGUACUCUCCUUUGCAGAAAGAUGAGAUAGAGAAGCAGGUCUUAGAAAUGCUGCAAUCUGGCCUGGUCUCACCUAGCUUGAGUCCUUUUGCUUCACCUGUACUAUUGGUCAAGAAAAAAGAUGGUACAUGGAGGUUUUGUGUGGACUAUAGAAAACUCAACUCCCUCACUAUUAAAAGUAAAUUUCCCAUGCCUAUGAUUGAUGAGCUAUUGGAUGAAUUAGGAGGUGCUCAAUGGUUCUCCAAGUUGGAUCUGAGAUCAGGCUACCACCAAAUAAGGAUGGUAGAGGCAGAUGAGUUUAAAAUAGCAUUCAAGACACAUAAUGGACAAUAUCAGUUUAAGGUGAUGCCCUUUGGAUUAUGUACUGCUCCAGCUACUUUCCAAUGUUUCAUGAACUUCAUUUUCAAAGGUUCAAACAGUAAAUUUUUGCUCAUAUUCAUGGAUGACAUAUUGGCGGUCAAUGGGACAUUAGAAGAACACUUGCAACAUUUGCAAGAAGUGUUUGCCAUACUCAAGGAAAACAACUUGUUUGUUAAGGAAAGCAAAUGUGCUUUUGCUCAGAAAUCCAUGGAGUACCUUGGACACAUUAUUACUGCUGCAGGAGUCACCACUGAUCCUGCCAAAACAGCUGCUAUGGUGGAUUGGCCAACUCCCACUAAUGUCACUAAAUUGAGAGGAUUUUUGGGACUCACUGGCUAUUAUAGGUAG